GAUGAAGAACGCAGCGAAAUGCGAUAAGUAAUGUGAAUUGCAGAAUUCAGUGAAUCAUCGAAUCUUUGAACGCACAUUGCGCCCGCCAGCAUUCUGGCGGGCAUGCCUGUUCGAGCGUCAUUUCAACCCUCGAGCCCCCCCGGGGGCCUCGGUGUUGGGGGACGGCACACCAGCCGCCCCCGAAAUGCAGUGGCGACCUCGCCGCAGCCUCCCCUGCGUAGUAGCACACACCUCGCACCAGAGCGCGGAGACGGUCACGCCGUAAAACGCCCAACUUCUUAGAGUUGACCUCGGAUCAGGUAGGAAUACCCGCUGAACUUAAGCAUAUCAAUAAGCGGAGGA
Molecule: unclassified non-coding RNA, 342 nt
Filed under: soil metagenome
Description: partial contains 5.8S ribosomal RNA, internal transcribed spacer 2, and large subunit ribosomal RNA
Rfam family: 5.8S ribosomal RNA (bases 1-120)
Source: RNAcentral